RNAcentral lists this ribosomal RNA (1434 nucleotides) under Shigella sonnei. RNAcentral describes it as "partial 23S ribosomal RNA". It matches the Rfam family "Bacterial large subunit ribosomal RNA", at positions 965 to 2383 of the family's 2925-position model. The record is from RNAcentral. Lineage: Bacteria; Pseudomonadati; Pseudomonadota; Gammaproteobacteria; Enterobacterales; Enterobacteriaceae.
GAGAAUGUUAUCACGGGAGACACACGGCGGGUGCUAACGUCCGUCGUGAAGAGGGAAACAACCCAGACCGCCAGCUAAGGUCCCAAAGUCAUGGUUAAGUGGGAAACGAUGUGGGAAGGCCCAGACAGCCAGGAUGUUGGCUUAGAAGCAGCCAUCAUUUAAAGAAAGCGUAAUAGCUCACUGGUCGAGUCGGCCUGCGCGGAAGAUGUAACGGGGCUAAACCAUGCACCGAAGCUGCGGCAGCGACGCUUAUGCGUUGUUGGGUAGGGGAGCGUUCUGUAAGCCUGCGAAGGUGUGCUGUGAGGCAUGCUGGAGGUAUCAGAAGUGCGAAUGCUGACAUAAGUAACGAUAAAGCGGGUGAAAAGCCCGCUCGCCGGAAGACCAAGGGUUCCUGUCCAACGUUAAUCGGGGCAGGGUGAGUCGACCCCUAAGGCGAGGCCGAAAGGCGUAGUCGAUGGGAAACAGGUUAAUAUUCCUGUACUUGGUGUUACUGCGAAGGGGGGACGGAGAAGGCUAUGUUGGCCGGGCGACGGUUGUCCCGGUUUAAGCGUGUAGGCUGGUUUUCCAGGCAAAUCCGGAAAAUCAAGGCUGAGGCGUGAUGACGAGGCACUACGGUGCUGAAGCAACAAAUGCCCUGCUUCCAGGAAAAGCCUCUAAGCAUCAGGUAACAUCAAAUCGUACCCCAAACCGACACAGGUGGUCAGGUAGAGAAUACCAAGGCGCUUGAGAGAACUCGGGUGAAGGAACUAGGCAAAAUGGUGCCGUAACUUCGGGAGAAGGCACGCUGAUAUGUAGGUGAAGUCCCUUGCGGAUGGAGCUGAAAUCAGUCGAAGAUACCAGCUGGCUGCAACUGUUUAUUAAAAACACAGCACUGUGCAAACACGAAAGUGGACGUAUACGGUGUGACGCCUGCCCGGUGCCGGAAGGUUAAUUGAUGGGGUCAGCGCAAGCGAAGCUCUUGAUCGAAGCCCCGGUAAACGGCGGCCGUAACUAUAACGGUCCUAAGGUAGCGAAAUUCCUUGUCGGGUAAGUUCCGACCUGCACGAAUGGCGUAAUGAUGGCCAGGCUGUCUCCACCCGAGACUCAGUGAAAUUGAACUCGCUGUGAAGAUGCAGUGUACCCGCGGCAAGACGGAAAGACCCCGUGAACCUUUACUAUAGCUUGACACUGAACAUUGAGCCUUGAUGUGUAGGAUAGGUGGGAGGCUUUGAAGUGUGGACGCCAGUCUGCAUGGAGCCGGCCUUGAAAUACCACCCUUUAAUGUUUGAUGUUCUAACGUGGACCCGUGAUCCGGGUUGCGGACAGUGUCUGGUGGGUAGUUUGACUGGGGCGGUCUCCUCCUAAAGAGUAACGGAGGAGCACGAAGGUUGGCUAAUCCUGGUCGGACAUCAGGAGGUUAGUGCAAUGGCAUAAGCCAGCUUGACUGCGAGCGUG